Long non-coding RNA from Mytilus trossulus (common blue mussel), 193 nucleotides. RefSeq lists it as uncharacterized. The record is from RefSeq and is a predicted model, not a curated record. Lineage: Eukaryota; Metazoa; Mollusca; Bivalvia; Mytilida; Mytilidae. The transcript has 4 exons.
AUUUAAACGGUAGCUUUCGAUAAUAGUAUAUUUUCUAUAAAUAAACCUCUUCUACGUAACAGGUAUGAGGAAGUAAAUAAGAUCCUACCAUCAUGACAGAUAAUGAGGAUUGCUGUUGUAUGUGUACAUUGAUCAAGACUAUCUUUUGCUGUUUCUGUUGUCGACCGUUCUGCUGGUUGACUAGACAAACCAG